This is a long non-coding RNA of Ixodes scapularis (black-legged tick), 356 nucleotides long. RefSeq lists it as uncharacterized. The transcript has 2 exons. The record is from RefSeq and is a predicted model, not a curated record. NCBI's taxonomy places the organism in Eukaryota, Metazoa, Arthropoda, Arachnida, Ixodida, Ixodidae.
CGGCGAUUUACUUGAUUUACGAACAGCACUGCCCAAUCGAAUGUGCUGCACCUACAACUACUGCUCAGUUUCACUCGUGCAGAGGUCUACGACAGUUGACCGAACACAAUUCCAUACAAGCAUGUUUUCGAGAACGGGACCAUUUUAUCGAAGCUCAGUUUACAGCAACAUCAGUUAUUGAAAAAGGAUUGCCAUUUAGUGAAUCUAUUCAAUUGGCAUAAGCAAAUCUGGAAGCCCCUAAAUGCUAGCGCGAUUCACUGAGGCGUGUUUGCCUAUGCUUCGAGCACUCGCUCUUCUCUCUUAGGCUGUAAACCAGGCAGAAUGUAAUUGCAAAAACGGCAGGGUUGUGACAUGCA